RNAcentral lists this ribosomal RNA (770 nucleotides) under Nocardia sp. HVG16. Its description in RNAcentral is "bacterial SSU rRNA". It matches the Rfam family "Bacterial small subunit ribosomal RNA", at positions 45 to 833 of the family's 1533-position model. The record is from RNAcentral. Lineage: Bacteria; Bacillati; Actinomycetota; Actinomycetes; Mycobacteriales; Nocardiaceae.
UGCUUACACAUGCAAGUCGAGCGGUAAGGCCCUUCGGGGUACACGAGCGGCGAACGGGUGAGUAACACGUGGGUGAUCUGCCUUGCACUUCGGGAUAAGCCUGGGAAACCGGGUCUAAUACCGGAUAUGACCANGAGAUGCAUGUCUUGUGGUGGAAAGAUUUAUCGGUGCGAGAUGGGCCCGCGGCCUAUCAGCUUGUUGGUGAGGUAACGGCUCACCAAGGCGACGACGGGUAGCCGACCUGAGAGGGUGACCGGCCACACUGGGACUGAGACACGGCCCAGACUCCUACGGGAGGCAGCAGUGGGGAAUAUUGCACAAUGGGCGAAAGCCUGAUGCAGCGACGCCGCGUGCGGGAUGACGGCCUUCGGGUUGUAAACCGCUUUUGACAGGGACGAAGCGCAAGUGACUGUACCUGUAGAAUAAGGACCGGCCAACUACGUGCCAGCAGCCGCGGUAAUACGUAGGGUCCGAGCGUUGUCCGGAAUUACUGGGCGUAAAGAGCUUGUAGGCGGUUCGUCGCGUCGUUUGUGAAAACUUGGGGCUCAACCUUAAGCUUGCAGGCGAUACGGGCGGACUAGAGUACUUCAGGGGAGACUGGAAUUCCUGGUGUAGCGGUGAAAUGCGCAGAUAUCAGGAGGAACACCGGUGGCGAAGGCGGGUCUCUGGGAAGUAACUGACGCUGAGAAGCGAAAGCAUGGGUAGCAAACAGGAUUAGAUACCCUGGUAGUCCAUGCCGUAAACGGUGGGUACUAGGUGUGGGGCUCCUU